AGCGAACGCUGGCGGCAUGCCUAACACAUGCAAGUCGAACGAGACCUUCAGGUCUAGUGGCGCACGGGUGCGUAACGCGUGGGAACCUGCCCUUAGGUUCGGAAUAACUCCCCGAAAGGGGUGCUAAUACCGGAUAAUGUCUUCGGACCAAAGAUUUAUCGCCUUUGGAUGGGCCCGCGUUGGAUUAGCUAGUUGGUAGGGUAAAAGCCUACCAAGGCGACGAUCCAUAGCUGGUCUGAGAGGAUGAUCAGCCACACUGGGACUGAGACACGGCCCAGACUCCUACGGGAGGCAGCAGUGGGGAAUAUUGGACAAUGGGCGAAAGCCUGAUCCAGCAAUGCCGCGUGAGUGAUGAAGGCCUUAGGGUUGUAAAGCUCUUUUACCCGGGAUGAUAAUGACAGUACCGGGAGAAUAAGCUCCGGCUAACUCCGUG
Molecule: ribosomal RNA, 433 nt
Filed under: uncultured bacterium
Lineage: Bacteria
Description: partial 16S ribosomal RNA
Rfam family: Bacterial small subunit ribosomal RNA
Source: RNAcentral